CCCUUAGACGUUCUGGGCCGCACGCGCGCUACACUGACCAGUGCAACAAGCAUCCGUCCUUGGCCGACAGGCUUGGGCAAUCUUUGAACGCUGGUCGUGAUGGGGAUAGACUUUUGCAAUUUUUGGUCUUCAACGAGGAAUUCCUAGUAAACGCAAGUCAUCAACUUGCAUUGAUUACGUCCCUGCCCUUUGUACACACCGCCCGUCGCACCUACCGAUUGAAUGGUCCGGUGAAGCCUCCGGAUUGGCGCGCACCUCGGUGCCGCCGAGAAGUUGGCUAAACCUUACCAUUUAGAGGAAGGUGAAGUCGUAACA
This 315-nucleotide ribosomal RNA is filed under the name uncultured eukaryote. RNAcentral describes it as "partial 18S ribosomal RNA". It matches the Rfam family "Eukaryotic small subunit ribosomal RNA", at positions 1470 to 1796 of the family's 1831-position model. The record is from RNAcentral.